Thamnophis sirtalis is the source of this 508-nucleotide non-coding RNA. The record is from RefSeq and is a predicted model, not a curated record. Lineage: Eukaryota; Metazoa; Chordata; Lepidosauria; Squamata; Natricidae.
UCAGGUUUUGGAGUGGUGGGCCGAAGAGAAGAGGAGAAAAGAGAAAUGACUCACGCAGUGAAAAUGAAGUAUAUUUAAAGGAUUAGAACACCCGAGGUUUUUUAGUACAGCUGAACUUAAGAGGAAGAAGGUGACAGGCUGGAAGCAGCACUCUGAGGUCAUCGCUUGGCAAACACAUCUGGGAAGUGCAGCUUUUGCCUCGGGGUUUGCAACCGUUCCAUAACACAUGACCGAGAGAAGGCAAGACACUGCUGAAACUUAAGGUUGGUCAAGCAUUGUUGGAAUUCACCACGAAACUAGGAACUCACCCUUUUUGAUACCACAGAAGGGUGUAAUUACCUUCACCUGAAUUCAACAACUGCCACUCCUCUCCGGAAGAGUCCUCUUCUGAAGAACAGCAGGAAUUGCAGGAACUGCCCUACCCAGGAAGAACCUAGGGGCUUUCACCUCCUUAAAAGAUGAAGAUGGAAGACACUUCAGAUGAGGAUGAGUCUACAAAGGCAUCCUG